UAACAACGUCGUGCCGACUUAAAUAUUCUGACGUGAAACACGUAAUCCUUACUCCUUCGAAUCGGAAAUUUCAAAUAAAACGCCAAAGAAGGAAAGAAAGAACCCAAUCAGAGAAAGACUUGUCAGGACCAGAGCGGAGACAGAGCCUCGCAGAGAGAAGAAAGAAACAGCUCAAAGCGCUGUCGUUUCUGUUCAUUCUCUCGUUUUGGCGCGAAAUGAAUAAAUUCCUCCAUUCAUUUCCUGCGCUGUAAAUCUAACAACCUCAGUUUUGUAGAAAAAGAAUUGAUUUGAUUUUGAUUAGCAAUUAUUUGACUGAUUUUUUUAUAUAUAAAUUCAAUUGGGAGAGAGAUGGGAGUAUCGGAGAAUUCAAGAGGGCUAAUUCUAGCUGUGGCAUCGAGUGCAUUUAUAGGGGCGAGCUUCAUUUUAAAGAAGAAAGGACUCAAACGAGCUGGUGCUAAUGGUACUCGCGCAGGGGUUGGAGGUUAUACUUACUUGCUAGAGCCGCUAUGGUGGGCAGGAAUGGUGACAAUGAUUGUUGGGGAGAUUGCGAAUUUUGUGGCUUACGUUUAUGCUCCAGCAGUUCUAGUUACCCCGCUUGGUGCACUGAGUAUAAUUAUAAGCGCGGUUUUGGCACAUUUUAUGUUGAAAGAGCGGCUGCAGAAAAUGGGUGUUGUAGGAUGUGUAUCUUGCGUUGUAGGAUCGGUAGUGAUUGUAAUCCAUGCGCCUCAAGAGCAUACACCUAGUUCUGUACAAGAAAUCUGGACUUUGGCAACCCAAACAGCAUUUCUAAUAUAUGUAGUAGCUACACUUUCAGUAGUGUUAGCUCUGAUUUUGUACUUUGAACCGCGCUGUGGGCAGACAAACAUAUUGGUCUACUUGGGAAUAUGUUCUUUGAUGGGUUCAAUAACGGUUGUAAGCAUAAAAGCCAUUGGAAUUGCAAUAAAGUUGACAUUGGAAGGGAUAAAUCAGAUAGCUUAUCCUCAGACUUGGUUUUUUCUUUCAGUUGCAGUGAUCUGUGUCAUCACACAGUUAAAUUACCUGAACAGGGCAUUGGAUACAUUCAAUGCAGCAAUUGUUUCUCCGGUGUAUUAUGUAAUGUUUACAACUCUCACCAUCAUUGCCAGUGCCAUAAUGUUCAAGGAUUGGUCGGGCCAAGAUGUGAGCAGCAUAGCCUCUGAGCUUUGUGGAUUUAUCACUGUUCUUUCAGGAACAAUCAUACUUCAUGCAACAAGAGAACAGGAACCAGCUCCGCCACUAGGAACUGUAACAUGGUAUGUUAGUGGGGAUUCCCUUAAAGGUAUUGAAGAACAUUUAAUCACUGUACAGAGUUCAGAUGAGCAAUGAGCUUUUUUUUUUUUUACUUUUGACUGGGAUUUGAAAAGAUGGUCUCCCACCAUUGAAGCAAGAAAGCAACCAAGCAACCAAGGGUGAGAUGUAUUUGCACAGUGAGGAGCUCUUCUUUCACCCGGCGAAUUCUUUCGUAUCAAUACUGGGCUGCUUCUAUGGAUAUCAUUUAUUGACAAGGCGUGAGGUGGCCCUCAAUGGAAAGAGUCAUUCUCACCUGAAAUGCCCAAACUUUUCUGAAACUUUGAACAUGCAUGACGGCGUGGAAUCAAAACCAGUGCAAGGAAAGAUGUUGGGCCAGGUCCAUGAUCUUACCUUGCCCAUCAUGGAUGGCACUUGUACAUUUUGAGCUCGACUUACCUUCUGAAGGAAAAAUCGACAGAUCAAGCUAUAAUAGAGUUCCAUAAUCUCUUCCCUGGUAUUUCUGUCCUCAAUUGCAGUGUAAUCCUCUAUUACAUCCUUCGAAGCGUACCUUAAAAAAUAUCUUACAUCUUAAUAACAGAUACCAAACACGUAGUAAAUUAUUUUCUCUCCAAAAA
This is an RNA transcript of Populus trichocarpa (black cottonwood), 1883 nucleotides long. It is a transcript of the gene named probable magnesium transporter NIPA6, with no coding region annotated. The record is from RefSeq and is a predicted model, not a curated record. The transcript is spliced from 10 exons. Lineage: Eukaryota; Viridiplantae; Streptophyta; Magnoliopsida; Malpighiales; Salicaceae.